This is a non-coding RNA of Flavobacterium subsaxonicum, 316 nucleotides long. It matches the Rfam family "Bacterial RNase P class A". Rfam says of the family: Ribonuclease P (RNase P) is a ubiquitous endoribonuclease, found in archaea, bacteria and eukarya as well as chloroplasts and mitochondria. Its best characterised activity is the generation of mature 5'-ends of tRNAs by cleaving the 5'-leader elements of precursor-tRNAs. Cellular RNase Ps are ribonucleoproteins. Lineage: Bacteria; Pseudomonadati; Bacteroidota; Flavobacteriia; Flavobacteriales; Flavobacteriaceae. The record is from Rfam.
CCAGCAGGCCGCCUUAUCGCUCUUUGCAAAAAGGGAGGAAAGUCCGGACACCAGAGGGCAGCAUAGCGGGUAACGCCCGUCACCGUGGUAUGCAGAACCGCGGGAGGACAAGUGCAACAGAAAGUAUGUACAGGUAAUGCUGUAGUGAAACCAGGUAAACUCUAUGCGGUGAAAUGCCAUGUAUACCGGCUAUAUGUAGGGCUGCUCGCCCGAUGCCGGGGGGUAGGCAGAUUGAGCGUAACAGUAAUGUUGCAUCCAGAUAAAUGAUAAGGGUCCCUCGGGGAUACAGAAUCCGGCUUACAGGCCUGCUUUUUUU